RNAcentral lists this ribosomal RNA (485 nucleotides) under uncultured bacterium. RNAcentral's name for it is "bacterial SSU rRNA". It matches the Rfam family "Bacterial small subunit ribosomal RNA", at positions 28 to 511 of the family's 1533-position model. The record is from RNAcentral.
GAUGAACGCUAGCGGCAGGCCUAAUACAUGCAAGUCGAACGGUAGAUCGGGUAGCAAUACUUGAUUGAGAGUGACGUAAGGGUGCGUAACACGUAUGCAAUCUACCCUCAACAGGAGUAUAACUCGGGGAAACUCGGAUUAACACUCCAUAACAUUACGAUGUGGCAUCACAUUGUGAUUAAAACUCCGGUGGUUGAGGAUGAGCAUGCGUCUGAUUAGUUAGUUGGAGGUGUAACGGACCCCCAAGACGAUGAUCAGUAGGGGAACUGAGAGGUUGAUCCCCCACACUGGCACUGAGAUACGGGCCAGACUCCUACGGGAGGCAGCAGUAGGGAAUAUUGGUCAAUGGGUGAGAGCCUGAACCAGCCAUGCCGCGUGCAGGAAGACGGCCUUCUGGGUUGUAAACUGCUUUUAUCUGGGAUAAAAGCCCAUGCGUGGGACAUUGAAGGUACCAGAUGAAUAAGCACCGGCUAACUACGUGCCAG